RNAcentral lists this ribosomal RNA (272 nucleotides) under uncultured bacterium. RNAcentral describes it as "partial 16S ribosomal RNA". It matches the Rfam family "Bacterial small subunit ribosomal RNA", at positions 524 to 790 of the family's 1533-position model. The record is from RNAcentral.
UACGGGGGGGAGCAAGCGUUGUUUCGGAUUUACUGGGCGUAAAGGGCGCGUAGGCGGCCAGCACAAGUCAGUUGUGAAAUCUCCGAGCUUAACUCGGAAAGGUCAACUGAUACUGUGCGGCUAGAGUGCAGAAGGGGCAACUGGAAUUCUUGGUGUAGCGGUGAAAUGCGUAGAUAUCUGGAGGAACACCGGUGGCGAAGGCGGCAUCCUGGACCGGCAUUGACGCUGAGGCGCGAAAGCCAGGGGAACAAACGGGGAUUAGAAACCCCUGG